CAAAGGCUUGGUCCUGACUUUACUAUCAGCUUUAACCAAACUUAUACAUGCAAGUAUCCGCGCCCCCGUGAGAAUGCCCUCAGCUUCCUGCCCGGAAGCAAGGAGCUGGUAUCAGGCACAAUCCGUGUGGCCCAAGACGCCUUGCUCAGCCACACCCCCAAGGGAACUCAGCAGUAGUAGACAUUAAACCAUAAGCGCAAGCUUGACUUAGUUAGGGCUAACAGGGCCGGUAAAACUCGUGCCAGCCACCGCGGUUAUACGAGCGGCUCAAGUUGAUUAUACCCGGCGUAAAAGGUGGCUAGGGUAACUAAACAUAGGGCCGAACCCCCUCUAAGCCGUUAUACGCACACGAAGGCAUGAAGCACCAACACGAAAGUAGCCCUACCCCUCCCCGAACCCACGAAAGCCACAAAACAAACUGGGAUUAGAUACCCCACUAUGUGUGGCCCUAAACUUUGAUAGAAUAACACACCCCCUAUCCGCCAGGGGACUACAAGCACCAGCUUAAAACCCAAAGGACUUGGCGGUGCUUUAGACCCCCCUAGAGGAGCCUGUUCUAAAACCGAUACUCCCCGUUGAACCUCACCACCUUUUGUUAACCCCGCCUAUAUACCACCGCCGUCAGCUUACCCUGUGAAGGCCCCAUAGUAAGCAAAAUUGGCAAACCCCAAAACGUCAGGUCGAGGUGUAGCGUAUGAGGUGGGAAGAAAUGGGCUACAUUCUUUCAAACCAGAGAACACGAACAGUGGGCUGAAAUCGCCCGCUUAAAGGAGGAUUUAGCAGUAAGUAAAAACAGAGUGUUUUACUGAAACCGGCCCUAAAGCGCGCACACACCGCCCGUCACUCUCUCCAAGCGCAGGAAAAAAAAGUAAAUAAACACAAAACUGACCCAAGGAGAGGCAAGUCGUAACAUGGUAAGCGUACCGGAAGGUGCGCUUGGAAAAAC
RNAcentral lists this non-coding RNA (946 nucleotides) under Percopsis transmontana (sand roller). Its description in RNAcentral is "12S rRNA". It matches the Rfam family "Bacterial small subunit ribosomal RNA". The record is from RNAcentral. Lineage: Eukaryota; Metazoa; Chordata; Actinopteri; Percopsiformes; Percopsidae.